Molecule: transfer RNA, 75 nt
Filed under: Alphaproteobacteria bacterium
Lineage: Bacteria; Pseudomonadati; Pseudomonadota; Alphaproteobacteria
Description: tRNA-Val
Rfam family: tRNA
About the family: Transfer RNA (tRNA) molecules are approximately 80 nucleotides in length. Their secondary structure includes four short double-helical elements and three loops (D, anti-codon, and T loops).
Source: RNAcentral
GGGCGAUUAGCUCAGCGGGAGAGCACCUCGUUCACACCGAGGGGGUCGCAGGUUCAAUCCCUGCAUCGCCCACCA